GGAAGAAGCUUUCGAGUGACGGUACCUGCAGAAAAAGCACCGGCUAACUACGUGCCAGCAGCCGCGGUAAUACGUAGGGUGCAAGCGUUGUCCGGAAUUAUUGGGCGUAAAGAGCUCGUAGGCGGUUUGUCGCGUCUGCUGUGAAAUCCCGAGGCUCAACCUCGGACGUGCAGUGGGUACGGGCAGGCUUGAGUGCGGUAGGGGAGAUUGGAAUUCCUGGUGUAGCGGUGGAAUGCGCAGAUAUCAGGAGGAACACCGAUGGCGAAGGCAGAUCUCUGGGCCGCUACUGACGCUGAGGAGCGAAAGCAUGGGGAGCGAACAGGAUUAGAUACCCUGGUAGUCCAUGCCGUAAACGUUGGGAACUAGAUGUAGGGGUCUUUCCACGGCUUCUGUGUCGACGCUAACGCAUUAAGUUCCCCGCCUGGGGAGUACGGCCGCAAGGCUAAAACUCAAAGGAAUUGACGGGGGCCCGCACAAGCGGCGGAGCAUGCGGAUUAAUUCGAUGCAACGCGAAGAACCUUACCAAGGCUUGACAUAUACGAGAACACUGUAGAGAUACAGGACUCUUUGGACACUCGUAUACAGGUGGUGCAUGGUUGUCGUCAGCUCGUGUCGUGAGAUGUUCGGUUAAGUCCGGCAACGAGCGCAACCCUCGUCCUAUGUUGCCAGCACGUUAUGGUGGGAACUCAUGGGAUACUGCCGUGGUCAACACGGAGGAAGGUGGGGAUGACGUCAAAUCAUCAUGCCCCUUAUGUCUUGGGCUUCACGCAUGCUACAAUGGCCGGCACAAUGGGCAGCGAUACCGUGAGGUGGAGCGAAUCCAAAAAACCGGUCUCAGUUCGGAUUGGGGUCUGCAACUCGACCCCAUGAAGUCGGAGUCGCUAGUAAUCGCAGAUCAGCACG
Molecule: ribosomal RNA, 903 nt
Filed under: uncultured bacterium
Lineage: Bacteria
Description: bacterial SSU rRNA
Rfam family: Bacterial small subunit ribosomal RNA
Source: RNAcentral